This 492-nucleotide ribosomal RNA is filed under the name uncultured bacterium. RNAcentral's name for it is "partial 16S ribosomal RNA". It matches the Rfam family "Bacterial small subunit ribosomal RNA", at positions 29 to 507 of the family's 1533-position model. The record is from RNAcentral.
AGUGAACGCUGGCGGUAGGCCUAACACAUGCAAGUCGAACGGCAGCACAGUAAGAGCUUGCUCUUACGGGUGGCGAGUGGCGGACGGGUGAGGAAUACAUCGGAAUCUACUUUUUCGUGGGGGAUAACGUAGGGAAACUUACGCUAAUACCGAAUACGACCUACGGGUGAAAGCAGGGGAUCUUCGGACCUUGCGCGAUUGAAUGAGCCGAUGUCGGAUUAGCUAGUUGGCGGGGUAAAGGCCCACCAAGGCGACGAUCCGUAGCUGGUCUGAGAGGAUGAUCAGCCACACUGGAACUGAGACACGGUCCAGACUCCUACGGGAGGCAGCAGUGGGGAAUAUUGGACAAUGGGCGCAAGCCUGAUCCAGCCAUACCGCGUGAGUGAAGAAGGCCUUCGGGUUGUAAAGCCCUUUUGUCGGGAAAGAAAAGCAGCAGGUUAAUACCCCGCUGUUCUGACGGUACCCAAAGAAUAAGCACCGGCUAACUUCGUG